UACGUAGGGGGCAAGCGUUGUCCGGAAUUACUGGGUGUAAAGGGUGAGUAGGCGGCAUGGUAAGCCAGAUGUGAAAGCCUUGGGCUUAACCCGAGGAUUGCAUUUGGAACUAUCAAGCUAGAGUACAGGAGAGGAAAGCGGAAUUCCUAGUGUAGCGGUGAAAUGCGUAGAUAUUAGGAAGAACACCAGUGGCGAAGGCGGCUUUCUGGACUGAAACUGACGCUGAGGCACGAAAGCGUGGGGAGCGAACAGG
Molecule: ribosomal RNA, 253 nt
Filed under: uncultured bacterium
Lineage: Bacteria
Description: partial 16S ribosomal RNA
Rfam family: Bacterial small subunit ribosomal RNA
Source: RNAcentral